Molecule: ribosomal RNA, 459 nt
Filed under: uncultured bacterium
Lineage: Bacteria
Description: partial 16S ribosomal RNA
Rfam family: Bacterial small subunit ribosomal RNA
Source: RNAcentral
CCUACGGGAGGCAGCAGUGAGGAAUAUUGGUCAAUGGGCGGGAGCCUGAACCAGCCAAGCCGCGUGAGGGAAGAAGGUACAGCGUAUCGUAAACCUCUUUUGUCAGGGAACAAAGGCGGGGACUAGUCCCCGGAUGAGGGUACCUGAAGAAAAAGCAUCGGCUAACUCCGUGCCAGCAGCCGCGGUAUUACGGAGGAUGCGAGCGUUAUCCGGAUUUUGGGGGGUUAAAGGGUGCGCAGGCGGCCUGUUAAGUCAGCGGUAAAAGCCCGGGGCUCAACCCCGGCGAGCCGUUGAAACUGGCGGGAUGGAGUUGGAGAGAAGUACGCGGAAUGCGCGGUGUAGCGGUGAAAUGCUUAGAUAUCGCGCAGAACCCCGAUUGCGAAGGCAGCGUACCGGCUCCACACUGACGCUGAGGCACGAAAGCGUGGGUAUCGAACAGGAUUAGAUACCCCUGUAGUC